UGUCAGCUAAGUGGCGCACGGGUGAGUAAUGCAUAGGUUUACGUGCCCCAUAGUCUAGGAUAACAGUUGGAAACGACUGCUAAUACUGGAUAUUCCCUCCGGGGGAAAGAUUUAUCGCUAUGGGAUCGGCCUAUGUCGUAUCAGCUUGUUGGUGAGGUAAUGGCUCACCAAGGCUAUGACGCGUAACUGGUUUGAGAGGAUGAUCAGUCACACUGGAACUGAGACACGGUCCAGACUCC
This 239-nucleotide ribosomal RNA is filed under the name uncultured bacterium. RNAcentral's name for it is "partial 16S ribosomal RNA". It matches the Rfam family "Bacterial small subunit ribosomal RNA", at positions 85 to 339 of the family's 1533-position model. The record is from RNAcentral.